ACGGGUGAGUAACGCGUGGGAAUCUACCUUGUGGUACGGAACAACCAAGGGAAACUUUGGCUAAUACCGUAUGAGCCCUUCGGGGGAAAGAUUUAUCGCCAUAAGAUGAGCCCGCGUAGGAUUAGCUAGUUGGUGAGGUAAUGGCUCACCAAGGCGACGAUCCUUAGCUGGUCUGAGAGGAUGACCAGCCACACUGGGACUGAGACACGGCCCAGACUCCUACGGGAGGCAGCAGUGGGGAAUAUUGGACAAUGGGCGCAAGCCUGAUCCAGCCAUGCCGCGUGUGUGAUGAAGGCCUUAGGGUUGUAAAGCACUUUCGCCGAUGAAGAUAAUGACUGUAGUCGGAGAAGAAGCCCCGGCUAACUUCGUGCCAGCAGCCGCGGUAAUACGAAGGGGGCUAGCGUUGUUCGGAAUUACUGGGCGUAAAGCGUACGUAGGCGGAUUGUUAAGUGAGGGGUGAAAUCCCGAGGCUCAACCUCGGAACUGCCUUUCAUACUGGCAAUCUUGAGUCCGGGAGAGGUGAGUGGAACUCCUAGUGUAGAGGUGAAAUUCGUAGA
Molecule: ribosomal RNA, 557 nt
Filed under: uncultured bacterium
Lineage: Bacteria
Description: bacterial SSU rRNA
Rfam family: Bacterial small subunit ribosomal RNA
Source: RNAcentral